UACGAAAGGUGCAAGCGUUACUCGGAAUCACUGGGCGUAAAGCGCACGUAGGCGGACUCGUAGGUCAGUUGUGAAAUACCUGAGCUCAACUCAGGAAUUGCAGCUGAAACCGCUUGUCUUGAAUACCUGAGAGGGUGGGGGAAUACCUGGUGGAGAAGUGAAAUUCGUAGAGAUCAGGUGGAACACCGGAGGCGAAGGCGCCUGCCUGGCAGUGUAUUGACGCUGAGGUGCGAAAGUGCGGGGAGCAAACAGG
RNAcentral lists this ribosomal RNA (253 nucleotides) under uncultured bacterium. RNAcentral describes it as "partial 16S ribosomal RNA". It matches the Rfam family "Bacterial small subunit ribosomal RNA", at positions 524 to 776 of the family's 1533-position model. The record is from RNAcentral.